GCCUGGGUGGCUCAGUUGGUUAAGCAUCUGACUUCAGCUCAGGUCAUGAUCUCACAGUUCAUGGGUUCGAGCCCCACAUUGGGCU
This 85-nucleotide transfer RNA is filed under the name Felis catus (domestic cat). It matches the Rfam family "tRNA". Rfam says of the family: Transfer RNA (tRNA) molecules are approximately 80 nucleotides in length. Their secondary structure includes four short double-helical elements and three loops (D, anti-codon, and T loops). The record is from Rfam by way of RNAcentral. Lineage: Eukaryota; Metazoa; Chordata; Mammalia; Carnivora; Felidae.